RNAcentral lists this ribosomal RNA (252 nucleotides) under uncultured bacterium. RNAcentral's name for it is "partial 16S ribosomal RNA". It matches the Rfam family "Bacterial small subunit ribosomal RNA", at positions 524 to 776 of the family's 1533-position model. The record is from RNAcentral.
UACGGAGGAUGCGAGCGUUAUCCGGAUUUAUUGGGUUUAAAGGGUGCGCAGGCGGCACGGCAAGCCGGCGGUCAAAUCGCGGGGCUCAACCCCGCCCAGCCGUCGGAACUGCCGGGCUAGAGUGGGCGAGAAGUGCGCGGAAUGCGUGGUGUAGCGGUGAAAUGCAUAGAUAUCACGCAGAACUCCGAUUGCGAAGGUAGCGCACCGGCGCCCUACUGACGCUCAGGCACGAAAGCGUGGGUAUCGAACAGG